CCCUCGGGAGGCAGCAGUCGAGAAUUUUUCACAAUGGACGAAAGUCUGAUGGAGCGACGCCGCGUGGAGGAUGAAGGUUCUUGGAUUGUAAACUCCUGUCACUGCAGAACAAGACUACGCAUAUGAAUAGUACGCGUAGUUGAUGGUAUGCGGAGAGGAAGGGACGGCUAACUCUGUGCCAGCAGCCGCGGUAAU
Molecule: ribosomal RNA, 195 nt
Filed under: uncultured Verrucomicrobiales bacterium
Lineage: Bacteria; Pseudomonadati; Verrucomicrobiota; Verrucomicrobiia; Verrucomicrobiales
Description: partial 16S ribosomal RNA
Rfam family: Bacterial small subunit ribosomal RNA
Source: RNAcentral